RNAcentral lists this ribosomal RNA (127 nucleotides) under Isoetes aequinoctialis. RNAcentral describes it as "partial 5.8S ribosomal RNA". It matches the Rfam family "5.8S ribosomal RNA", at positions 2 to 128 of the family's 154-position model. From Rfam's summary of the family: 5.8S ribosomal RNA (5.8S rRNA) is a component of the large subunit of the eukaryotic ribosome. It is transcribed by RNA polymerase I as part of the 45S precursor that also contains 18S and 28S rRNA. Lineage: Eukaryota; Viridiplantae; Streptophyta; Lycopodiopsida; Isoetales; Isoetaceae. The record is from RNAcentral.
ACUCUCAGCAACGGAUAUCUUGGCUCUUGCCACGAUGAAGAACGCAGCGAAAUGCGAUACGUGAUGUGAAUUGCAGAACUCCGUGAAUCAUUGAAUCUUUGAACGCAACUUGCGCCCGGGGCUUGUC